This 274-nucleotide ribosomal RNA is filed under the name uncultured bacterium. RNAcentral's name for it is "partial 16S ribosomal RNA". It matches the Rfam family "Bacterial small subunit ribosomal RNA", at positions 523 to 796 of the family's 1533-position model. The record is from RNAcentral.
AGACGGAGGGUGCAAGCGUUAAUCGGAAUUACUGGGCGUAAAGCGCUCGUAGGCGGCUUGUUAAGUCGGAUGUGAAAGCCCUGGGCUCAACCUGGGAACUGCAUUCGAUACUGGCAGGCUAGAGUAUAGUAGAGGCAAGUGGAAUUCCGGGUGUAGCGGUGAAAUGCGUAGAUAUCGGGAGGAACACCAGUGGCGAAGGCGGCUUUCUGGACCAAUACUGACGCUGAGGCGCGAAAGCGUGGGGAGCAAACAGGAUUAGAAACCCCAGUAGUCC